RNAcentral lists this ribosomal RNA (465 nucleotides) under uncultured bacterium. RNAcentral's name for it is "partial 16S ribosomal RNA". It matches the Rfam family "Bacterial small subunit ribosomal RNA", at positions 29 to 507 of the family's 1533-position model. The record is from RNAcentral.
ACGAACGCUGGCGGCGUGCUUAACCCAUGCAAGUCGAACGGAAAGGCCCUGCUUGCCGGGUACUCGAGUGGCGAACGGGUGAGUAACACGUGGGUGAUCUGCCCUGCACUUCGGGAUAAGCCUGGGAAACUGGGUCUAAUACCGGAUAGGAGCCAUUUUUAGUGUGAUGGUUGGAAAGUUUUUUUCGGUGUAGGAUGAGCUCGCGGCCUAUCAGCUUGUUGGUGGGGUAAUGGCCUACCAAGGCGGCGACGGGUAGCCGGCCUGAGAGUGUGGACGGCCACAUUGGGACUGAGAUUCGGACCAGGCUCCUACGGGAGGGAGUAGUGGGGAAGAUUGCGCAAUGGGCACAAGCCUGAUGCAGCGACGCCGAGUGGGGGAUGACGGCCUUCGGGUUGUAAACUCCUUUCGCUAGGGGCGAGGCUUUUUGUGACGGUACCUGGAUAAGAAGCACCGGCUAACUACGUG